Numida meleagris (helmeted guineafowl) is the source of this 621-nucleotide long non-coding RNA. RefSeq lists it as uncharacterized. The record is from RefSeq and is a predicted model, not a curated record. The transcript has 5 exons. Lineage: Eukaryota; Metazoa; Chordata; Aves; Galliformes; Numididae.
GCAGCCGUCCUGGCUCGCGGCAUCGCCCAGCCCUCAGCGGCCCCCUGAAGACGGAGAUGGUGCGACGUUUGGACGUUGUAUCCAAAGCAAAUGCAAAUAAGCAAAUCCAAAAGUUACGGAGUUAGCAAUUUUUCCAGUCCUGUCCUCUUUGCAAUGAUUGGAGGCAGGUGGGACACUGGCAGGAUAUGAAGGAAAACAUUUCCACUACGGCAAAAGCUUUGUAGAAGGAGAGGGAGGCUGCCUGUGUGUGUGCUUAACUAUUGCAGAAGGAAGAAGCACUGCUGAGGAGGCUGAUACCCAUCAGGAGCAAGGAAAGAGCAAUAAAAAGGCAGACAUUCCUAAAUAUUUGGGAGGACAACACUGGAGAUGUCUUUAGAGUCAGUGCCCUUCCUCUGUAAGAAUCAUAGAACCAUUAUGGUUGGAACAGACCUCUAAGAUCAUCUAGUCUGACCAUCAACACAUCAUCAGAGAUUUGCAUUGCUCAUCCUUCUGGACUCCAAGGGAAACAUCCAGACUCUGUGAACUGAGGAUGACAGAAAGCUGAUGCCAGUGAAAGUGAAGUGAGUAGAUUUUCACUAGACAAGGUUCUUGAGAUUCAAUGUGAAGAAGAAUUUUUCUUUA